UACGUAGGGUGCAAGCGUUGCCCGGAUUUAUUGGGCGUAAAGGGCGCGUAGGCGGCUCUGCACGUCCGUUGUGAAAUCGCCCGGCUCAACUGGGCGGGGUCAGCGGAUACGGCAGAGCUUGAGCAAGCUAGGGCAAUGGAAUUCCCGGUGUAGUGGUGGAAUGCGUAGAUAUCGGGAGGAACACCAGUGGCGAAGGCGGUUUGCCUGGGCUUUGGCUGACGCUGAUGCGCGAAAGCGUGGGGAAGCGAAGAGGAAU
Molecule: ribosomal RNA, 256 nt
Filed under: uncultured bacterium
Lineage: Bacteria
Description: partial 16S ribosomal RNA
Rfam family: Bacterial small subunit ribosomal RNA
Source: RNAcentral